Long non-coding RNA from Canis lupus familiaris (dog), 2457 nucleotides. RefSeq lists it as uncharacterized. The transcript is spliced from 3 exons. The record is from RefSeq and is a predicted model, not a curated record. NCBI's taxonomy places the organism in Eukaryota, Metazoa, Chordata, Mammalia, Carnivora, Canidae.
CCCUGCGCAGCCUGCUCGGCCGCGGGCCGCGGGGCCCCCCGGCCGGGCGCCCCUGCUCCCAUCCCAGCGGUGGGCCCGGCCCCUCUGGCCUGCGCGGAGCCCCGGUGUGCGGGGAAGUCCGUCCCACAGUCUAAUCGCGGUGCCUUCCAGCUGCGCCACAGAGGCGGGGUCGGAGUAGGAGGCGGCCCGAGGUCGGAGCUGGGCGCGCCCACUCCCCCACCGGCGGCGGAAAGGCCUCCACCUGCUGCCCUGAGCCAGCCCACGCCGAGACCGAACCCUCGUACCCCAGCCUCGCUCAGCGCCCCCCACCCUCUGGCCCGGGCUGCUCUGACCUGAGGGAGCGAGUGCUAUGUGCCCAGCGAACCACUGUUAGGGAGGAUGUGCGGAGGCUGUACGUGGUUUCACAGGUAAACGUGCUGUCCCUCGGCAGCAACUCCCAAAUAAGAUGGGACAUAUUCCUUCCUUAGCAAAGAGGUCUGUAUGCAAGUCACCUCAGCUGAAUGACAACAACAAAGUCUGGAGGAAAUCCGAAGUUUGCAGAGGAAGAAAGAUCAAGCAUCAUCAAUGCUUCUCUGGGUGGCUCCCCAUCCCUGUUCAUACCUGGACCGACUGUGGGGAUCAUACGAGCUGCUCCUGGAUCUGCUCCUGCUGGAUGUCCUAAUAUGAAUCACAUGAGGGACUAUCAUCUUGUAGGUCAGGAUAGGCCAUAUCAAAAAUCUAGACAUUUCUUAACCAUCAAGGAAAAAACACCAUGAAAUCCAGUAGCUGUAUCUACUUCAUUUAUCAAAAGAACACUGGAUUUUUUUAAAAAAAGCAUGUUGGAUUUCAUUAGAAAGAUUACCUGAGAGGCGAAAGAGGGUUUGAUGAAGCUGGGAGAACAUGGGUCCCACAUGCUCCACCCUGUGGCCUCUUAUUAACAAAUCAAUCCUCUUAUCCCAGUCCUAAACCCAAGCCAAGAGGUGACUGCAGAUGUGAACUGAGGUCAAAGAAGAUAUACUGGAGGGAGGGGGAGAUGGUGGGCAGAGCUUUUUUUUUUAAAAAGAUUUUUUAUUUAUUUAUUCAUGAGAGACAGAGAGAGGGGCAGAGACACAGGCAGAGGGAGAAGCAGGCUGCAUGCAGGAAGCCCGAUGUGGGACUCGAUCCCGGGAUUCCAGGAUCACGCCCUAGGCCAAAGGUAGGCCUAAACUGCUAAGCCACCCGGGGAUCCCUGGGCAGGGCCUCUUAAAGAUUUCUACUGCUUCUUUCCUCACUCUGAGAAAAGCCAGUGAGAAUCUGACAGUUCCUAGAAAGAAACAACUAGACAAGACAAUAGGCCUGUCUGGUAUUCAGUGAUGGUAGGAUUCUUUUCAUUGGCUCCCACCACUCUGCCUGUGCAGCCCUUGAAAAGCAGACAAAAUAAAUAAAUAAAAUAAAAAAUAAAAAUAAAUAAAAGAAAAAAGAAAAGCAGACAGGAUGCAGACCACAUGGUAGGGUCGGUUCCCCACACUCACCUAUGACUUUUGUAACUGCGGUAGGAACUGCUCCGGCUUCUUGUGCGGCCUCUGCUGUACCAUCCUCUGCUCCGACUUCUAGAAUAGCUUCUUGAUCUACAAUGAAGAGUGAAAAAAUAUAUUAACUCACCAUGCUGUUCAAACAAUUACUAGUAGGAUAGGAAGGGGAGAAUACAACCAAAGGAAAGGCCAUUCACAAACACUUCAUACUAGGUUUGACAAUGACAGCUUAUGAGGGUUUAAACUGAAUGGAAUGGAAUGUGGGCAGCCCAGGUGGCUCAGUAGUUUAGCGCCGCCUUCAGCCCAGGACGUGAUCCUGGAGACCUGGGAUCAAGUCCCACAUCGGGCUCCCUGUGUGGGGCCUGCUUCUCCCUCUACCUUGUGUCUCUGCCUCUCUCUGUGUCUCUCAUGAAUAAGUAAAAUCUUUAAAAAAUAAACAAACUGAAUGGAAUGCAAUAAACCAGAAAAGGCUGGUAAAGGUAUGUUCACUGGAGCUUUAUCUGGAAGACCAGAAGAAGAAACAAUCUCCAUUAAUGAUAGAAUUGGGGGGGCCCACAAAUAUACAGUAAAAUAUUCUCAAGUAGGAAAAUGAAUGAAGUACAUCAACACAGACGUCGCCUGGACAUAAUGCUGAGUGAAAAAUGCACAGACAGAACGCGUAUGUAGGUAUGUACGCAAGUAUGUAGGUAUAUAUCUGUAAAGAUUUUGUUUGAAGACAUGCAAAAACAUUGUAUACAGAUAGAAGUAUCUGUGCCAAAUCUAAAGAACAACAACAAAACUACAACAAAAGUUUAGAAUAAUGUUUAAUUCUAGGAGAGAAGAAAGUAGGGUGGCACUGGGUAGGGAUAUAUCAGGUAUGUCAAAGCUCUGUUUUUUAAAAACUAGAUGACAUAAUGUGAAAUAUUAUUUAUACCUAAUCAUUUAAAAAAUCUACUUAAUAUUUAAUAAAACAAGUAGUGCAAUUCCA